UGGGGGAUAUUGCACAAUGGAGGAAACUCUGAUGCAGCAACGCCGCGUGAGGGAAGAAGGUUUUCGGAUUGUAAACCUCUGUCCUUGGUGAAGAUAAUGACGGUAGCCAAGGAGGAAGCUCCGGCUAACUACGUGCCAGCAGCCGCGGUAAUACGUAGGGAGCAAGCGUUGUCCGGAUUUACUGGGUGUAAAGGGUGCGUAGGCGGCUCUGCAAGUCAGGCGUGAAAUACAUGGGCUUAACCCAUGGGCGGCGUUUGAAACUGUGGAGCUUGAGUGAAGUAGAGGUAGGCGGAAUUCCCGGUGUAGCGGUGAAAUGCGUAGAGAUCGGGAGGAACACCAGUGGCGAAGGCGGCCUACUGGGCUUUAACUGACGCUGAGGCACGAAAGCAUGGGUAGCAAACA
This 402-nucleotide ribosomal RNA is filed under the name uncultured prokaryote. RNAcentral describes it as "bacterial SSU rRNA". It matches the Rfam family "Bacterial small subunit ribosomal RNA", at positions 355 to 774 of the family's 1533-position model. The record is from RNAcentral.